GACUAAGUAGCUCAGUGGUAGAGCAGUUGACUGUUAAUCAAUUGGUCAUAGGUUCAAAUCCUAUCUUGGUCU
RNAcentral lists this transfer RNA (72 nucleotides) under compost metagenome. Its description in RNAcentral is "tRNA-Asn". It matches the Rfam family "tRNA". From Rfam's summary of the family: Transfer RNA (tRNA) molecules are approximately 80 nucleotides in length. Their secondary structure includes four short double-helical elements and three loops (D, anti-codon, and T loops). The record is from RNAcentral.